CAAAAAGUGAAAAGUAGUGCAUAAAAAUCAUAAAUCAUAAUACAAAUAAAAUUUUCAGUGUACGUGACGCGUGUAAAAAUAAGAUCGCAUUAAAUAAAGAAUCAUAAAAUCAAAAUAGAAGAAAAAAAAAAUAAUAAGUAAAAAACGUCGUGUGUACAAAAAGUGUUGUAACAUUUUAUGGUGCUCGUAUGUGUGCGCGAGUGCGUAUCGGUGUAUGUGAAAAAUAGUAAAUUUUAAAUGGAAAUAAAUUUGAAGUGGAAAUUUGUUGCAGUUAGUUGAUUCGAUCGAAACACAAUUCAAAAAAAAAUCAAAUUAAAUUACUGCCAAAACAAAAAAUAAAAAUAAAUAAAAAAAAAAAUAACAAAUAGACAACUUAACUUGGAUACCAUUUGCGUAUAAUGUCAUCAAUAUGUGGAUUAAAUAUGGUUUUCAUGUCGAUCAUUUUCAUUAUCAUCGUAAAUGGCUACGCAAAAGACAUUUCCAGAGUUGAAAGAGGUCACGAACGACUCAACGAAUACAUAUCCCACUAUGAAACACUUAACUAUGAUCAUGAGCACAUUAGAGCUAGUCACAAUAGGGCGCGUCGAUCGGUGACCAAAGAUCAUUUUGUAUAUAUAAAAUUUGCAGCACAUGGAAAAGAUUUCCAUCUUAGAUUAAAACGUGAUUUAAAUACAUUUAGUGAUAAGUUAGACUUUUAUGAUAGCAACGGCCCCAUUGAUGUCUCAACGGAUCAUAUCUAUGAGGGCGAUGUGAUAGGGGAUCGUAACAGUUAUGUAUUUGGUUCCAUACACAAUGGGGUAUUCGAGGGUAAAAUUAUAACGGAACGUGAUGCCUAUUAUGUUGAACAUGCCAAACAUUAUUUUCCCACAAAUCGGACAACGUCAACGUCAACGUCAACGACGACGACGACGUCGAUGCCGACGACGACAAAGACCACCGCAACAAUAUUAGCUCCAACAACAACGGGGUCCAAUACGAAUAAAACUGCCAUUGAUAAUAAGAGAGAAAAGUUUAUACAUAAAAUUGGUGACACAGCAACAACAACAACAAACACAUUCCCAAUGUAUCCAAGCAACAACAAUACCAGACAGACAGAAGCAACAACAAUGCCGCCAACAGCAACGAGAACUGAGGAUGAACUUGAUUUUCACUCCAUUAUCUAUAAGGAGUCGCAUGUUGAGGAUGCCUACGAGAAUGUGCGCGAAGGUCACGUGGGCGGCUGUGGCAUUACGGAGGAGGUCUCACAAUGGAUGGAGAAUAUACAAAAUUCAGCGGUUGAGGAGCUGCCAGUGCCCAUGUCAAAGGAUGUCCAAAAGCUGCACCGGAAACAGCAACACAAAAAGGCAACUGCUGCUCAGCAACAACAACAACAGCAACAGCAACAUCCACCGAAGAAAUAUGCCAGCAGCGAUGAUGAUUUCAAAUUUCCACAUCAGAAAUAUUCAAAGGAAGCAAACUUGGGCGAUAGCAACGGUGGAUUCUAUGAUCCAGAGACCGGACGACGUUUGGGCACCACGGCCAAUGUCGCCGAAUGGCGUCAACUGGUCCAUGAGCGUGUGCGUCGGGCCAGUGGCAAUGGCAACGGCGGGGCUGGUGGGGGCAACAAUGCCGCGGCCAACGGUUCAUCUGGCGCCGGACGUGGCCGUGAGGAUAACAAAAAUACCUGCUCGCUGUAUAUACAAACAGAUCCAUUGAUUUGGCGUCAUAUACGCGAGGGUAUUGCUGAUCACGAUCGCGGUCGCAAGUACGAGGUGGAUGUGAAGACCCGUGAGGAAAUCACAUCGCUGAUUGCACAUCAUGUGACGGCCGUUAAUUACAUUUACCGCAACACAAAGUUCGAUGGACGGACGGAGCAUCGCAACAUACGCUUUGAGGUGCAACGCAUCAAAAUCGAUGACGAUUCCGCCUGUCGCAACUCCUACAACGGGCCUCACAAUGCAUUUUGUAACGAGCACAUGGAUGUCUCGAACUUUUUGAAUCUCCACUCGCUAGAGGAUCACUCAGACUUUUGUCUAGCCUAUGUAUUUACUUACAGAGAUUUUACGGGCGGCACUUUGGGCCUGGCCUGGGUGGCCAGCGCAUCGGGCGCCUCGGGCGGCAUUUGCGAGAAGUACAAAACCUACACGGAAACUGUGGGCGGUCAAUAUCAGAGCACCAAGCGAUCCUUGAACACGGGCAUCAUCACCUUUGUCAACUACAAUAGUCGCGUGCCACCAAAAGUAUCACAGCUAACGCUGGCUCAUGAGAUUGGACACAAUUUCGGUUCGCCGCACGACUAUCCACAAGAAUGCCGUCCAAGCGGCCCCAAUGGCAACUUUAUAAUGUUUGCCAGCGCCACGUCGGGCGAUCGUCCAAACAAUUCAAAAUUCUCACCCUGUUCCAUACGCAAUAUUUCCAAUGUCUUAGAUGUGCUGGUGGGCAAUACGAAACGUGAUUGCUUCAAGGCAUCGGAGGGCGCUUUCUGCGGCAACAAGAUUGUGGAGUCGGGCGAGGAAUGCGACUGUGGCUUCAACGAGGAGGAAUGCAAAGACAAUUGCUGCUAUCCGCGUCUCAUCAGCGAGUACGAUCAGUCGCUCAACUCCAGUGCGAAGGGCUGCAAGCGUCGUGCCAAGACGCAAUGCUCGCCGUCGCAGGGUCCCUGCUGUUUGGCCAACUCGUGUGCCUUUGUGCCCACCCACUUCCAUCAGAAGUGCAAGGAGGAAACGGAGUGCAGCUGGUCGAGCACAUGCAAUGGCACCACAGCCGAGUGCCCAGAGCCCCGGCAUCGUGACGACAAGACCAUGUGCAACAAUGGCACCGCCCUGUGCAUACGUGGCGAAUGCAGCGGAUCACCCUGUUUGCUAUGGAAUAUGACCAAAUGUUUCCUCACCUCAACGUCCCUGCCGCACGUGGACAAGCGCAAGCUCUGCGAAUUGGCCUGCCAGGAUGGCAACGAUACGAGCACCUGUCGCAGCACUAGCGAAUUUGCUGCCGAAUAUAACAUACAACCGGGUGGCAUUAGUCUGCAGCCCGGCUCACCCUGUGACAACUUCCAGGGCUACUGCGAUGUUUUCCUCAAGUGUCGCGCUGUCGAUGCCGACGGCCCGCUGGUGCGGCUCAAGAAUCUGCUGCUCAAUCGCGAGACGCUGCUCACCGUCACCGAGUGGGUCACCGGCAACUGGUAUCUGGUGGUGCUGAUUGGCGUUGGCUUCAUUGUGGUGCUGGGCGCAUUUAUAAAAUGCUGUGCCGUACACACGCCCAGCUCCAAUCCGAAGAAGCGUCGAGCUCGACGCAUCAGCGAAACGCUGCGCGCGCCAAUGAAUACGCUGCGUCGCAUGCAGCGGCAUCCGAAUCAGCGUGGUGCUGGACCGCGCAGCAUUCCACCGCCGGCGCAUGAGGCGCAACAUUAUCCUCGAGGUGGCGGUGGUGCUGGCGCUGGUGGUGGUGCAUCUGGACGACAUGGCGGCUCACGUGGACAUAAUCAUCACAAUUCGCAUUCACACGAAUGGGAUCGGCAUCAGGGCGGCCACUCGAUUGUGCCACUGCCCACGGGCGGCGGUCAUGCCAGUCGCAAUGCGCCAGCGAAUCAGGCGAGGCGCAGUGAUGGGCGUGGCACACGGCCCAGCAGCAGUGGCAAGCCGCAGGCCAGCAGCAGCAGCGCAGCCGGACGAUCUGGGUAUGGAGCUGAUCAAACGGGCGUGGGUGGUGCUAUGGGUGGUGGUGUGCAGGCGGCCAUUAGCAGCAGCGGUGUUGUGGCGCGUGCGCAACUGCCGCUGCCAUUGCCGCCCGCAAAUGCACAACAGCCGCAACAACAACAACAACAAGCACUCUCACCGCAACAACAACAACAACAACAAUCGCAAGCGUUCUAUGCGCCGAAAGAAUUACCACCACGCAAUAAGUCCCGCUCGUCACGUACCAACAACAACAGCACGGCCAUGCCCUCGACAGUGGCUGGCAGCAGUAAGCAAGCCAAAAGUGCCAAAGCCAAAGACACACAACAACAGCAACAACACAACAAACACAACAACAGCAACCGCAGUCGCAGCAGCAGCAAAGACAAGGCAACCGCAGCCGCUGGCAAGACGCGUCGCAAUAUUGUUUACUAAAUGUGGAACGCUUGGAAUUGGAACGCCUCAAACAUGCCAUAUACGAAACAAACAAAUAUAUAUAUACCUAUAUAUACCCAGUACAUAUACAAAACUUCCACGCGCUUGCUAGCGUGCCAUUUCCAUCGUUCCAAGCAAAAGGCUUUGCACCCCCCUCCCACCCACACAAAACGAAUUUGAUCAGCAAUUGGCGUCGCGCCCCCGCCGCCGCUACAAGUAAACUAUAGUCGACCGACAUCGCUGCAUGAGCAACAGACGUUAGAGGAGC
Drosophila hydei is the source of this 4356-nucleotide RNA transcript. It is a transcript of the gene named disintegrin and metalloproteinase domain-containing protein 10, with no coding region annotated. The transcript has 12 exons. Lineage: Eukaryota; Metazoa; Arthropoda; Insecta; Diptera; Drosophilidae. The record is from RefSeq and is a predicted model, not a curated record.